Molecule: long non-coding RNA, 585 nt
Filed under: Mus musculus (house mouse)
Lineage: Eukaryota; Metazoa; Chordata; Mammalia; Rodentia; Muridae
Description: RIKEN cDNA E230029C05 gene
Source: RNAcentral
AGCACUACCCCUUUGUCCAAGUGCCUUAUAACAUGUCUUUAUAACUGGCUGUGUAAGAAUGAAGAAAAGCUGUCCAUCUUCUGAGAAGAAGCCCUGCCUUGAACUUCAGGCUGCCUGGCUUGGAUCCUGAUGCUGCUUUGCUGACACAAUCCAUUCUCCCAGGGAACACCCAGAGUUCCACUCCAGCCCUGGCAACGCUGCAGCAGAGCUGGUGAUUUCCUGCUUGGUCGUCUUUUAAAACCCAGCCAUCUGAAUCCGAGAGUUGCUUCUUCAGCAAGGCCUCCCCUGACUCCUUCAGAUGUCUAAGCACCACCCCUACUCUUCUGCUGCAGCAUCUCCACUUGCUUUUGUCCUUCAUCUCCCUGAAAUUAUUUGCUUACUCAUCCAUCCAUGUCAGUUGCAAAAGCAUGACUUCCUCUAGUCCAAAGGCCAUUCAUGUUCAAUAUGUUAGCACUCGGAGCGUCUCCAGUGGUUGUUUCAAACAAGGCAAAUGAGUUCAGUUGAACUUUAUAUGUUCUGCCCUCCGACUGUGACUGUUAUUUACUUCCCUCCAAACAAAAUGUAAUAAUAAAAUGACUAACUGAA